Molecule: ribosomal RNA, 497 nt
Filed under: uncultured bacterium
Lineage: Bacteria
Description: partial 16S ribosomal RNA
Rfam family: Bacterial small subunit ribosomal RNA
Source: RNAcentral
GAUGAACGCUGGCGGCGUGCCUAAUACAUGCAAGUCGAGCGAACGGACGAGAAGCUUGCUUCUCUGAUGUUAGCGGCGGACGGGUGAGUAACACGUGGAUAACCUACCUAUAAGACUGGGAUAACUUCGGGAAACCGGAGCUAAUACCGGAUAAUAUUUUGAACCGCAUGGUUCAAAAGUGAAAGACGGUCUUGCUGUCACUUAUAGAUGGAUCCGCGCUGCAUUAGCUAGUUGGUAAGGUAACGGCUUACCAAGGCAACGAUGCAUAGCCGACCUGAGAGGGUGAUCGGCCACACUGGAACUGAGACACGGUCCAGACUCCUACGGGAGGCAGCAGUAGGGAAUCUUCCGCAACGGGCGAAAGCCUGACGGAGCAACGCCGCGUGAGUGAUGAAGGUCUUCGGACCGUAAAACUCUGUUAUUAGGGAAGAACAUAUGUGUAAGUAACUGUGCACAUCUUGACGGUACCUAAUCAGAAAGCCACGGCUAACUACGUG